GGAGUUCUGUGAAAAAUUACGCUCGACUUGAAAUCGGAUGUCCCAAAAGGACCGUGGGUUCGAAUCCCACCCUCUCCG
RNAcentral lists this transfer RNA (78 nucleotides) under Leptolyngbya sp. SIO1E4. Its description in RNAcentral is "tRNA-Ser". The record is from RNAcentral. Lineage: Bacteria; Bacillati; Cyanobacteriota; Cyanophyceae; Leptolyngbyales; Leptolyngbyaceae.